RNAcentral lists this ribosomal RNA (466 nucleotides) under uncultured bacterium. RNAcentral's name for it is "bacterial SSU rRNA". It matches the Rfam family "Bacterial small subunit ribosomal RNA", at positions 966 to 1435 of the family's 1533-position model. The record is from RNAcentral.
GAGAUUGGGCUUGACAUCCCACGAACCUGCCGAAAGGCAGGAGUGUCCGCAAGGGAGCGCAGAGACAGGUGGUGCAUGGCUGUCGUCAGCUCGUGUCGUGAGAUGUUGGGUUAAGUCCCGCAACGAGCGCAACCCUCACCCUUUGUUGCCAUCAGGUUAUGCUGGGCACUCUAAGGGAACUGCCUCGGUUAACGAGGAGGAAGGUGGGGACGACGUCAAGUCAUCAUGCCCCUUACGCUCUGGGCUACACACGUGCUACAAUGGCCAAUACAAAGGGCUGCAAACCCGCGAGGGCAGGCCAAUCCCAAGAAAUUGGUCUCAGUUCAGAUUGUAGGCUGCAACCCGCCUGCAUGAAGGAGGAAUCGCUAGUAAUCGUGGAUCAGCAUGCCACGGUGAAUACGUUCCCGGGCCUUGUACACACCGCCCGUCACACCACGAAAGUCUGCUGUACUCGAAGUCGCUGAGA